Molecule: transfer RNA, 53 nt
Filed under: Halobacillus trueperi
Lineage: Bacteria; Bacillati; Bacillota; Bacilli; Caryophanales; Bacillaceae
Description: tRNA-Ser
Rfam family: tRNA
About the family: Transfer RNA (tRNA) molecules are approximately 80 nucleotides in length.
Source: RNAcentral
AGAGCGCCACCUUGACAGGGUGGAGGUCGUUGGUUCGAGCCCAAUCGGAAUCA